Anoplopoma fimbria (sablefish) is the source of this 274-nucleotide long non-coding RNA. RefSeq lists it as uncharacterized. The transcript has 3 exons. Lineage: Eukaryota; Metazoa; Chordata; Actinopteri; Perciformes; Anoplopomatidae. The record is from RefSeq and is a predicted model, not a curated record.
GUAAAGAGGAAAGACCCUCAACAUCACAAACAGAUCAGGGUGUGUCCAGUGCUGCUGACAAUCCAGAGGUUCCUGCAGGCCAUGCACAGGGGGAUAGUGGUGUGGCAGCCCCAUUUGGCGGGCUCGGACCUAUUGAGGCAGGCGAAGAUUCCUGUGAUGAAGGCCCCUUACCGUCACAUACACAGCACAGUAUGUAUGCUUUACCUUUUUUUUUUUUGUACAGUUUUGUUAAGGUCAUAUUUUGCCCAAAGAGUCUUAUUUAUUUUAAUUUUGU